UCCCUGGUAGCUCAGUUGGUAAAGCAUCUGCCUGCAAUGCAGGAGACCCUUGUUUGAUCCGUGGGUUGGGAA
This is a non-coding RNA of Bos taurus (domestic cattle), 72 nucleotides long. The record is from Rfam. Lineage: Eukaryota; Metazoa; Chordata; Mammalia; Artiodactyla; Bovidae.